GAUGAACGCUAGCGGGAGGCCUAACACAUGCAAGCCGAGCGGUAUUGUUUCUUCGGAACUGAGAGAGCGGCGUACGGGUGCGGAACACGUGUGCAACCUGCCUUUAUCUGGGGGAUAGCCUUUCGAAAGGAAGAUUAAUACUCCAUAACAUAUUGAACGGCAUCGUUCGAUAUUGAAAGCUCCGGCGGAUAGAGAUGGGCACGCGCAAGAUUAGCUAGUUGGUGAGGUAACGGCUCACCAAGGCGAUGAUCUUUAGGGGGCCUGAGAGGGUGAUCCCCCACACUGGUACUGAGACACGGACCAGACUCCUACGGGAGGCAGCAGUGAGGAAUAUUGGUCAAUGGGUGCAAGCCUGAACCAGCCAUCCCGCGUGAAGGACGACUGCCCUAUGGGUUGUAAACUUCUUUUGUAUAGGGAUAAACCUGCCCUCGUGAGGGUAGCUGAAGGUACUAUACGAAUAAGCACCGGCUAACUCCGUG
This 479-nucleotide ribosomal RNA is filed under the name uncultured bacterium. Its description in RNAcentral is "partial 16S ribosomal RNA". It matches the Rfam family "Bacterial small subunit ribosomal RNA", at positions 28 to 507 of the family's 1533-position model. The record is from RNAcentral.